GUUAGAACGCUCGUAGUCGGAUUUCGGGGCGGGCCGACCGGUCUGCCGAUGGGUACGCACUGGUCGGCGCGUCCUUCCUUCCGGAGACCGUGCCUACUCUUAACUGAGCGGGGGCGGGAGACGGAACGUUUACUUUGAAAAAAUCAGAGUGUUUCAAGCAGGCAGCUCGCUCUUGCAUGGAUUAGCAUGGGAUAAUGAAAUAGGACUUUGGUGCUAUUUUGUUGGUUUCGAACACCGAAGUAAUGAUGAGAAGGGACAGUCAGGGGCACUCGUAUUCCGCCGAGAGAGGUGAAAUUCUCAGACCAGCGGAAGACGAACCACUGCGAAAGCAUUUGCCAGGGAUGUUUUCACUGAUCAAGAACGAAAGUUAGGGGAUCGAAGACGAUCAGAUACCGUCGUAGUCUUAACCAUAAACCAUGCCGACUAGGGAUUGGAGGAUGUUCACUGAUUGACUCCUUCAGCACCUUACGGGAAACUAAAGUCUUUGGGUUCCGGGGGGAGUAUGGUCGCAAGGCUGAAACUUAAAGGAAUUGACGGAAGGGCACCACCAGGUGUGGAGCCUGCGGCUUAAUUUGACUCAACACGGGGAAACUUACCAGGUCCAGACAUUGUGAGGAUUGACAGAUUGAGAGCUCUUUCUUGAUUCGAUGGGUGGUGGUGCAUGGCCGUUCUUAGUUGGUGGAGUGAUUUGUCUGGUUAAUUCCGUU
RNAcentral lists this ribosomal RNA (707 nucleotides) under uncultured marine eukaryote. RNAcentral's name for it is "SSU rRNA". It matches the Rfam family "Eukaryotic small subunit ribosomal RNA", at positions 618 to 1329 of the family's 1831-position model. The record is from RNAcentral.